This is a non-coding RNA of Schizosaccharomyces pombe (fission yeast), 2048 nucleotides long. The record is from the annotation of a GenBank genome assembly. Lineage: Eukaryota; Fungi; Ascomycota; Schizosaccharomycetes; Schizosaccharomycetales; Schizosaccharomycetaceae.
CGUGAAAAAGUUUUCUAGUUAUAAAAGAGAAAUUAUGAGAAAGAUAGUAUCCGAGUUUAAUAGGACUUGGGCUAUCCUUGAAGAUUAAAGAAAGAAAGAAGUUAUUAGAAGAAACGACAUUCAUCCAAAAAGAAAAAAUAGAGAACAGAAAAAUGAGUGGCGAGUAGAAGAUUAGACAAGAAAAGAAUGAUAAACACUAAAAAUAUUUCGUCUCAGAGAAAAUAUCUUAAUUCAAACAUAAAAACGAAAAACGUCGCUUUAACCCUUUUUCAUAUGACACACCUAAAACCAAACGCAGAUGAGAUGCGACUAAUUAUUAGCUCAAUGUAAACUUCUUGUCCGUUGCCUAUCAGGCGAAGAGUUAGAAGAUACAGAUCGUCUUGAAUUGAGCAGAGCCCCAUAAAUACAUCAAUUAUUCCAAUAUACAUAAAUCUUGAAUCAAUGUUCAAUUAUAGCAAUUAAGUUUGGAAUCCGUGCUUUGAAAAUAAAAAUUGGAUUAAACUUGAAUCUAAGAUUCAUGUCGGAGACCAACGAUUGUCGAAUUUUGUAGAUGGUAACCAAAAAAGAAAAGGCCAUUGUUGAAUUGUUGCAACAUGAAAAAACAAAAAAUAAAAAAUAUGAAUUCCGAUGAUGAACAACAAUGAAAAAAAUAAGACACGCAAAAUUAAAGAAUUGGGGAGUGAAACUUUGGAAAAAGCAUUAGAGAGUAUGGUGGAGGGAGAUAAAAAAUCUUUGGAAGACUUCUUUUUUAAGUUUUCGAACUUCUUUAACAGAUUUUUUUGACUUUCAAGUUCUGAUGCCAGUAAAGAGAGACCAGCGGCAAAUUGGGAAUCGUUCAAAGUCUCCGUUUUAGGGAUGUAAGGGAUGUGAAAGAAAGGGCUGGGAAAAGUAAUUUUUAGAUUUUGAUACGGAGGGUGAUUUUGGAAGGGUUGAGGCGCCUUUUCCUUAAAAAAUAGUCUCAACUGCUCGUUUUCCAACUGAAGAUGUGCAACCUUUUCUUCUAAAAUCAUGUUUGACUCCAUAAAAGCGCCUCUUUCUUUUUGUUCCGACAAAGAUUCUUUCUUCAUGUAAUCUGUUUCCUAUUAAACAAAUUAGUAAACUGGCUUGUCUCUACCUCGAAUAAGGCAUAUUCUUAAAAAUCAUACCGUUUUCCUUUCCUUUUCUACAGCAUGGAUUAGCUCUUCCAUUCUCACAAUAUGGGCUUGCUGUUGCUCAUACUCUUCAUGAAUGGUUUGUAAUUGAGCUGCAUACUCCUUAGAAUCACGAAGAGCUUCACGAAAUUUUUUCUCCCAGGUUUUCGCUUGGGUAUAACAAGACUUGCAAGCUUCUUCCGAAGAAUCCAAUUCCUCCAAUAAUUUUGCAUUUCGCGCGUUUAGUUCUUUAACUUGCUCGUCUUUAGAACGUAAUUCUGCCGCUUGAAGCUCUAUCCUUUCAUAAAGCUGUUGAAUUAAAGAAUCAUCAGCAUUUUCCUUGUUUAUAUGAGAAAAUCCUUUAUUUGAUCCAUAUUCAUUUUUAGUUCGAAACAUUGACAAAGGGGUUGAAUGACUCAAAGGUGAUCCUUUUCUUGGUGUUAUGUAACUUGCGUCUUGAUAAAACAUAUCUUUUCUCUUUAUUCGAUUUUCUGAUAUUUUUUGAGGCUUCGCUACACUUUUUCUUGGUAAUACCCCAUUCUCGCGCAAAGCUAAUUUGUUUACAGGAAGGGUAUCAGGGUCAAGACCAGUUAACUCAUAAAACAAAUUCUUAAUUUCACUCGUAGACACUACAAUCUCACUGUUAUCUUUUAUAAAAUCUUGGGCCGAUUGUCUUUGCUCAUUAUCAAGCAAAGGGGCCUCUGGAUUAAGUCGCAAUGCGUCAACAUCGUCGACAAUUUCUAAAAAUGCUUGAAUGGAAACCUGUCGAAAAUUAGAAACUAUUUUUCAAGUAAUGAGAAAUUACUUUUCCUGUAUAAUCUGGGUCGUAUUGGCGCACAAUAUCGUCAAAAGGGAUGUAUUCAUCCAUUUUGAUUGUUUAUUGACAUGUGCUUUGGUUAAACAGAAUUAGUAUAAAGG